GAUCCUGGCUCAGGAUGAACGCUGGCGGCGUGCUUAACACAUGCAAGUCGAGCGAAGCACUUAGGAAAGAUUCUUCGGUAUGAUUUCCUAUUUGACUGAGCGGCGGACGGGUGAGUAACGCGUGGGUAACCUGGCCUCAUACAGGGGGAUAAACAGUUAGAAAUAGACUGCUAAUACCGCAUAAGACCACAGCACCGCAUGGUGCAGGGGUAAAAACUCCGGUGGUAUGAGAUGGACCCGCGU
Molecule: ribosomal RNA, 243 nt
Filed under: uncultured bacterium
Lineage: Bacteria
Description: partial 16S ribosomal RNA
Rfam family: Bacterial small subunit ribosomal RNA
Source: RNAcentral